RNAcentral lists this ribosomal RNA (384 nucleotides) under Chaetomium globosum. Its description in RNAcentral is "eukaryotic LSU rRNA". It matches the Rfam family "Eukaryotic large subunit ribosomal RNA", at positions 54 to 444 of the family's 3401-position model. Lineage: Eukaryota; Fungi; Ascomycota; Sordariomycetes; Sordariales; Chaetomiaceae. The record is from RNAcentral.
AGGAAAAGAAACCAACAGGGAUUGCCCUAGUAACGGCGAGUGAAGCGCAACAGCUCAAAUUUGAAAUCUGGCUUCGGCCCGAGUUGUAAUUUGCAGAGGAAGCUUUAGGCGCGGCACCUUCUGAGUCCCCUGGAACGGGGCGCCAUAGAGGGUGAGAGCCCCGUAUAGUUGGAUGCCUAGCCUGUGUAAAGCUCCUUCGACGAGUCGAGUAGUUUGGGAAUGCUGCUCAAAAUGGGAGGUAAAUUUCUUCUAAAGCUAAAUACCGGCCAGAGACCGAUAGCGCACAAGUAGAGUGAUCGAAAGAUGAAAAGCACUUUGAAAAGAGGGUUAAAUAGCACGUGAAAUUGUUGAAAGGGAAGCGCUUGUGACCAGACUUGCGCCGGG